RNAcentral lists this ribosomal RNA (402 nucleotides) under uncultured bacterium. RNAcentral describes it as "bacterial SSU rRNA". It matches the Rfam family "Bacterial small subunit ribosomal RNA", at positions 355 to 774 of the family's 1533-position model. The record is from RNAcentral.
UGGGGAAUCUUGCACAAUGGGGGCAACCCUGAUGCAGCGACGCCGCGUGAGCGAUGAAGCCCUUCGGGGCGUAAAGCUCUUUCGACCGGAACGAUAAUGACGGUACCGGGAGAAGAAGCUGCGGCUAACUACGUGCCAGCAGCCGCGGUAAUACGUAGGCAGCAAGCGUUGUUCGGAGUUACUGGGCGUAAAGAGUGCGUAGGCGGUUUUCUAAGUUCGGUGUGAAAUCUCCCGGCUUAACUGGGAGGGUGCGCCGAAGACUGGGAAGCUGGAGUGUGGGAAAGGCAGGCGGAAUUCCUGGUGUAGCGGUGAAAUGCGUAGAUAUCAGGAGGAACACCGGCGGUGUAGACGGCUUGCUAGACCAUAAGUGACGCUGAGGCACGAAAGCGUGGGUAGCAAACA